CAAAUGCCUGGCACGGCCACUUCUUUGGGCGUCGUCAACAAGAAACGGUCCUUGUCCUUGUCCCUAGCUCCCUCAACAGCCAGAAACAUUCCCACGAUCCUCGCCGCAGGGCUGACGACGUCCGUCUCCCACGCGUCGCGCUGUGCCUUUGGGUUCCCGGCGUUCCCGACCUUGAGCUGAAGCACCUCCGUGACGUCGAGGCGGUGGAUGUCGCUCCAGCCUUGGAGACCGUGGAGCCGGUGGAUCUUCUGCAGCUGGCGGCGCGCCAGGCCGCACGUGUUGGCCUUGAUCUCGUUAACGGCCGCGGCGAGGAGCCGCACUCGCAGCUGAUCAUCAUCGUCGCCGUCGAGAGCCCCUGCGGCCUCCAUCCGGAAGUACAUGUCCAUCUCCGGCACGCCGAUGGCCCUCCGGAUACCCCUGGAGUAGUCGGCGUCGUCGUGCCGAAAGAAGGCCCGCACCUCGCGGACGAGCCCCUGCUCCAGCAUGCAGUCCACGCGGCUCCCUAUGUAGCGGUCCAGCACCGCCAGGUCGCUGUCGACCCAGAGGAAGCAGCAUUCGUAGCGGCCGCGGAAGCCUGCAGGAGGUUCCCCGUCCAGCAGCGCCUCCAGGUAUCUGUUGGAGCCCCCGGCGAUGAUCGGGACGCGGCCCCUCUCGAGAAUGGACUCCACAGCGCGCACGGCGUCCCUGCAGAAGUCGGCGGUGGUGUAGUCGGCGUCGGGCGCCACCCCGUCGAUAAGGUGGUGUGGCACGCCCUGGCGCUCCGCGGCGGUGACCUUGUUGGUGACCACGUCGAGGCCGUCGUGCACCUGGAUCUUGUCGGAGUUGACGACCUCUCCGCCGAAGCGCAGCGCGAGGUCGAUGGCCAGCUUGGACUUGCCGGUGGCCGUGGCGCCCAUCACCAGCACCACCUUGGCCUUGUUGUCGCCUCCGCUCGCCGUGGCACCGUUAACUCCCGCCAUCGUGAGUGUACGACUGUCUUUCACAGUGUUACCACGUACAAGCUAGCUUGUAGUAGUGUAGCGGCUGUGUAUAUGGGUGAAUGAAAAGCGUG
Molecule: unclassified non-coding RNA, 1051 nt
Filed under: Zea mays
Lineage: Eukaryota; Viridiplantae; Streptophyta; Magnoliopsida; Poales; Poaceae
Description: misc RNA Zm00001eb131650
Source: RNAcentral